ACGCUCGACACCUACGGGAGGCCGCAGUGGGGAAUAUUGCACAAUGGGGGAAACCCUGAUGCAGCGAUGCCGCGUGAAGGAAGAAGUAUCUCGGUAUGUAAACUUCUAUCAGCAGGGAAGAAAAUGACGGUACCUGACUAAGAAGCCCCGGCUAACUACGUGCCAACAGCCGCGGUAAUCUGAGCGGGCUGGCAAGGC
RNAcentral lists this ribosomal RNA (198 nucleotides) under uncultured bacterium. RNAcentral's name for it is "partial 16S ribosomal RNA". It matches the Rfam family "Bacterial small subunit ribosomal RNA", at positions 328 to 539 of the family's 1533-position model. The record is from RNAcentral.